CUCGUAGCUCGAGUUGUCCGAGCAGCGGCUCGAGUCCUCCUGGCUGUGGUUGAGCUGCAGCGACGCCGUCACCGAGAGCGGCCCCGAGCCCGGCGGGAGGGACACCGGCGUCUGCUUCUUGGUGUCCUUGCUGAGCGUGGGCACUUUGCAGGCGCGGCGGCGGCCGUGGGGGGCACUCCGGGCUUCUGCAGCUUGCUGCGGUCAGGGUGG
This 210-nucleotide long non-coding RNA is filed under the name Gallus gallus (chicken). Lineage: Eukaryota; Metazoa; Chordata; Aves; Galliformes; Phasianidae. The record is from RNAcentral.